This 460-nucleotide ribosomal RNA is filed under the name uncultured Bacteroidales bacterium. RNAcentral's name for it is "bacterial SSU rRNA". It matches the Rfam family "Bacterial small subunit ribosomal RNA", at positions 65 to 519 of the family's 1533-position model. The record is from RNAcentral. Lineage: Bacteria; Pseudomonadati; Bacteroidota; Bacteroidia; Bacteroidales.
UAACAUGAGGAAAGCUUGCUUUCCUUGAUGACGACUGGCGCACGGGUGAGUAACGCGUAUCCAACCUUCCCAUAACUACGGGAUAACCCGUUGAAAGACGGCCUAAUACCGUAUGAUAUCGUUUGCUGACAUCAAAUAACGAUUAAAGGUUUAGCGGUUAUGGAUGGGGAUGCGUCUGAUUAGCUUGUUGGCGGGGUAACGGCCCACCAAGGCUACGAUCAGUAGGGGUUCUGAGAGGAAGGUCCCCCACAUUGGAACUGAGACACGGUCCAAACUCCUACGGGAGGCAGCAGUGAGGAAUAUUGGUCAAUGGGCGAGAGCCUGAACCAGCCAAGUAGCGUGCAGGAUGACGGCCCUAUGGGUUGUAAACUGCUUUUAUGUGGGGAUAAAGUGCGUGACGUGUCAUGCAUUGCAGGUACCACAUGAAUAAGGACCGGCUAAUUCCGUGCCAGCCGCCGCG